GAAAAAUUAGUUAAAUUUAUAACCUUAGAUUGUCAAACUAAAAUUAUCCAUUUAGGAUAUUUUUCU
This 66-nucleotide transfer RNA is filed under the name Panchlora nivea. Its description in RNAcentral is "tRNA-Asp". The record is from RNAcentral. Lineage: Eukaryota; Metazoa; Arthropoda; Insecta; Blattodea; Blaberidae.